UACGUAGGGGGCAAGCGUUGUCCGGAAUCAUUUGGCGUAAAGCGCGUGUAGGCGGCCCGGUAAGUCCGCUGUGAAAGUCGGGGGCUCAACCCUCGGAUGCCGGUGGAUACUGUCGGGCUAGAGUGCGGGAGAGGCGAGUGGAAUUCCUGGUGUAGCGGUGAAAUGCGCAGAUAUCAGGAGGAACACCAAUUGCGAAGGCAGCUCGCUGGAACGUUACUGACGCUGAGACGCGAAAGCGUGGGGAGCAAACAGG
Molecule: ribosomal RNA, 253 nt
Filed under: uncultured bacterium
Lineage: Bacteria
Description: partial 16S ribosomal RNA
Rfam family: Bacterial small subunit ribosomal RNA
Source: RNAcentral